GAAAAGAGUAAAACACCCAUUUUUGCCAAAAGUAUACAGGUUUCAAAAAGUCUAAUUGCUUUACCAUUUGCUAAACACAAAGGGAAUUAAAUGCGGACGCCAGUAAGUGUGGUUAACAUUAAUUCAACAGAUUCACUGAAUGCCUACUAUGUACAGGCACUGCGGGAGACAAAGGAAAUCAAGUAACGCCUUUGCCUUUGAGGAAUCGAACAGAAGACAGACAGGGAAAAAUGAUAGAUUCCUGGAACUACAGACAAGUAUACCAAAAUUUCACUAAGGAAAAGCUAUCGUUGAACUAACCUCAUUUCCUGUUCGGAGAGGGUCACUCAACUGAUACUUUGGGGAAAUACCACAGUCAUGCACCAAGAUUUCAUAAAAGGAUCCAAGUUUCAUCAUAUGGAUGAUGCUGACAAGCUAAGAACUAUACAACUAUAUAGGUAAGAGAAUCUGAAGUUGGUUGAACGCCCAGUGCAAUUUCAUUAAUUACCAACAAUCUUAUUCGGCUUUUAAAAGAUCAGGCGAAGGACCAUGGCCCUUUAAGCAUUUUAUAAAUGAUUUAGAGUAAUAUUUUUCAAACUUCGAUGUCUUUAAAUAAAGAUCUUUAAAACAAAACCUUCAAUGUUCUUGACACAACAGACUUAUCAAAUAUGCUGAUAGCCAACUUAGAUCCCUAGUAAGAUAAAUAUAAAAUCAAAACUCAAAAUAUGAUCUAGAGCUAAAAUCAACAAUAUGGAAUUUGCAUUUUAAAGGCCUGCUUUAAAAAUUUAAAAACUUCAAUAUUCAAGUAUGGAUUGGGGUUUAAUGUUAGCUACAGCAGAUGUGAAAAAGAUCUGUAUAUUUAAAUUGCCCAUGAGUUCAUGAAUCAAUUAACUUUAUAUUAUUAAAAAUGCUAACGUAAUCUUAGGCUGUACUGAUAACAAAAGUACGUUACAAUCAAAGAAUGUAAUAUAACUGUGUUUCACGAUGGACAGACCCUUUGGAAAAUGAUUUGAUGCUUACAAAAAACAUGACACUGCCUAUUCCUCUUUGUUGCAAUCAUUUACAGAAUCACAAGUUAAUUCUCCCUCAUUUUAUGAAGAUUUCAGCAUCCAGUCCACUGUCUCUCACCAAUACCAUUCCUGUUCUAAUUCUUGGUGGUUUCAAUGUCCAUGUAGAUGAUCCCACUAAAACACCCUGCCUCUCAGAUCCUUGACCUAAUUUUCUCCAUGAACUUGUCCUUUACUCCUUCAGAUGCCAACUCCAUGGUCAUACUCUAGACCUUUUCAUUACUAACUGUACUGCCUCUCUAUCUCAAUUUCAAGUAUCCACCUCCCAUUACGCCUUCUAGUACCCUAAUGCCAACAAACUUUUGAGUCCACUCAGAGUAUAUCAUACUAAUCUUACACCUUUUUUCACUGUCCCUCAAACCCACCUCCAAGCCCCCAUGUCCUCCUUCCCC
Molecule: non-coding RNA, 1438 nt
Organism: Equus caballus (horse)
Lineage: Eukaryota; Metazoa; Chordata; Mammalia; Perissodactyla; Equidae
Source: RefSeq, a predicted model, not a curated record